UUCAGGGUGGUGCGAAGAACUCUGGGAGGCCAAAGGGACCAAGGUCUCGGAGAUUAUUGAGAUCCAAGGUUGCCAAGGCUGGAACAGAGCGCCUUCCCAUUCUGGGAUGUGGUUCCUGCCCUUCUUCUUCGGUGGGGCACAGCCAGCUACGUCCAGGACCCCACCAUGGCCACCAUGGCCGUGACGUCAUCCUGGCUCACUUGGGAGACGUGACACCGCCCACUUCACGCGGGGCGGCCACCAACCGUUAGAGCAACGACCUGGAGGUCACCACCAACGGCCUCAGGAGCAUUCUGCAGGUUCUACAGCAACGUUACUGGAAGGCACUCCGGGUCCUGUGUCUCCCUAGUAUGCCAGCCGGCCAGCCAACCGGCUCUACUGACCUCGGACAUGGAUGCAAAAGAGCUGGAUUUAUCAACAGCCUUUGGGGACCACAGCGCCCUCUGUAGCUCGAGUCCGGUAGGGCAGAGUGAAUGAAGAAUUUAACCGAACUUGGCCACAAAUCGAAUUCAACCAAGACUUUUCUUGUGCUUGCUGCAUUGGCGGUGGAGAUGCACCAUCUGCAUGGUGUCAGCCAUUAUAAAGGGCGACACAGAAGAGGACUUCCCCUUAUCCAACAAAUUUUAACGUUUCUGGCCGCUCACACAUAUGCUUGUCCUUUCAAAGACAUGAGGACCAAAGGUGGUGUUGUCAUGACUCAGGAAUUUCAUGAAUAGAAGACUUGGUUCUGUCUGUGCCCACGUGGCCCAGCUGUUAGACCUACGAGUU
Long non-coding RNA from Peromyscus eremicus (cactus mouse), 768 nucleotides. RefSeq lists it as uncharacterized. The transcript is spliced from 3 exons. The record is from RefSeq and is a predicted model, not a curated record. NCBI's taxonomy places the organism in Eukaryota, Metazoa, Chordata, Mammalia, Rodentia, Cricetidae.